Sapajus apella (tufted capuchin) is the source of this 188-nucleotide long non-coding RNA. RefSeq lists it as uncharacterized. NCBI's taxonomy places the organism in Eukaryota, Metazoa, Chordata, Mammalia, Primates, Cebidae. The record is from RefSeq and is a predicted model, not a curated record. The transcript is spliced from 3 exons.
GAUCCAGGAACACCACUUACAGUCCCCACUUCAGUCUUUCUAAGGGUCAGCCCCAGUUAACUGUUGGACAUUCAAGGCACUAUGACAAGUAUAUUCAGGAUGAUUCUGCUUCUCUUAUAAAAGGAAAAAACAUGGAUAAUUAUAUUCCAUAUAAAGUGGAGACUUGUGUGUGUGUGUGUGUGUGUGUG